RNAcentral lists this ribosomal RNA (494 nucleotides) under uncultured bacterium. RNAcentral describes it as "partial 16S ribosomal RNA". It matches the Rfam family "Bacterial small subunit ribosomal RNA", at positions 28 to 507 of the family's 1533-position model. The record is from RNAcentral.
GACGAACGCUGGCGGCGUGCUUAACACAUGCAAGUCGAACGGUGAAGCGCCUUCCUUUUUGGUGGGUGUGGAUGAGUGGCGAACGGGUGAGUAACACGUGAGUAACCUGCCCCCUUCUUCUGGAUAACCGCAUGAAAGUGUGGCUAAUACGGGAUAUUCUGGGUCUGUCGCAUGAUGGGUCUGGGAAAGAUAUUGUUUCGGUGGGGGAUGGGCUCGCGGCCUAUCAGCUUGUUGGUGGGGUGAUGGCCUACCAAGGCGGUGACGGUUAGCCGGCCUGAGAGGGUGGACGGUCACACUGGGAAUGAGACACGGCCCAGACUCCUACGGGAGGCAGCAGUGGGGAAUAUUGCACAAUGGGCGCAAGCCUGAUGCAGCGACGCCGCGUGAGGGAUGGAGGCCCUCGGGUUGUGAACCUCUUUCGCCAGUGAAGCAGGCCUGCCUCGUUUGUGGGUGGGUUGACGGUAGCUGGAUAAGAAGCGCCGGCUAACUACGUG